UAAAAAAAAACAGUAAAACCACUACUUAAACAGCAUUUACAUUGUGUUAGGUAUUGUAAAGUAAUCAAGAGAUGAUUUAACAUAUCGGUCCCACAACCUUUUUGGCACCAGGGACUGGUUUUGUGGAAGACAAUUUUUCCACCAACAGCGUGGAGGGUGUGGCAAAUGAAACUGUUCCAUCCCAGAUCAUCAGGCAUUAGUUAGAUUCCCAUAAGGAGCACGCAACCUAGAUCUCUCGGAGUUGCAGUUUACAAUAGGGCUCAUGCUCCUUUGAGAAUCUAAUGCCACUGCUGAUCAGACAGGAGGCGGAGCUCAGGCAGUAAUGUUCACUUGCCCUCUGCUCACUCCACCUGUUUGGCCUGGUUCCUAACAGGCACGGACCAGUAUGCGGCCCAGGCGUUGAGGAACCCCUGAUUUAAAGUACACAGAAGGAUGGAGAGAUGGGGUCUCACGAUGCUGCCCAGGCUAGAAUGCAGUGGCUUUUCGCAGGCACAAUCAUAGCAUAUUACUGCCUCAAACUUCUGGGCUCAAGCCUCGGCAUCCCCAGUAGCUGAGAAUACAGGCAUGUACCACUGUACUCAGCUUUGUGGAUUUAAUGCAUAUACAAGGUUAGAAAUUCAAUAAGCUGCUUAUGAUGAUGGAGGCCAUGUUUCUCCAGCCAGCUACUCUGAUAUAUGGACAGUGCCUAGCACAAUGCCUGACAAAGAUGGUAUCCCACAAAAUAUGUUGGAGGCUUCAUGAACAUACAUUGAGAUUGACUGCAG
RNAcentral lists this long non-coding RNA (764 nucleotides) under Homo sapiens (human). RNAcentral describes it as "HSALNT0373061". The record is from RNAcentral. Lineage: Eukaryota; Metazoa; Chordata; Mammalia; Primates; Hominidae.